RNAcentral lists this ribosomal RNA (253 nucleotides) under uncultured bacterium. Its description in RNAcentral is "partial 16S ribosomal RNA". It matches the Rfam family "Bacterial small subunit ribosomal RNA", at positions 524 to 776 of the family's 1533-position model. The record is from RNAcentral.
UACGGGGGGGGCAAGCGUGGUUCGGAAUUACUGGGCGUAAAGGGCUCGUAGGCGGCCAACUAAGUCAUACGUGAAAUCCCUCGGCUUAACCGGGGAACUGCGUCUGAUACUGGAUGGCUUGAGUUCGGGAGAGGGAUGCGGAAUUCCAGGUGUAGCGGUGAAAUGCGUAGAUAUCUGGAGGAACACCGGUGGCGAAGGCGGCAUCCUGGACCGAUACUGACGCUGAGGAGCGAAAGCCAGGGGAGCAAACGGG